Molecule: ribosomal RNA, 442 nt
Filed under: uncultured bacterium
Lineage: Bacteria
Description: partial 16S ribosomal RNA
Rfam family: Bacterial small subunit ribosomal RNA
Source: RNAcentral
CCUACGGGGGACAGCAGUGGGGAAUAUUGGGCAAUGGGCGCAAGCCUGACCCAGCAACGCCGCGUGAAGGAAGAAGGCUUUCGGGUUGUAAACUUCUUUUGUCAGGGAAGAGUAGAAGACGGUACCUGACGAAUAAGCCACGGCUAACUACGUGCCAGCAGCCGCGGUAAUACGUAGGUGGCAAGCGUUGUCCGGAUUUACUGGGUGUAAAGGGCGUGUAGCCGGGUUGACAAGUCAGAUGUGAAAUCCUGCGGCUUAACCGCAGAACUGCAUUUGAAAGUGUGGAUCUUGAGUACUGGAGAGGCAGAUGGAAUUCCUAGUGUAGCGGUGAAAUGCGUAGAUAUUAGGAGGAACACCAGUGGCGAAGGCGGUCUGCUGGACAGCAACUGACGGUGAGGCGCGAAAGCGUGGGGAGCAAACAGGAUUAGAUACCCCAGUAGUC